Molecule: long non-coding RNA, 1011 nt
Filed under: Lynx pardinus (Iberian lynx)
Lineage: Eukaryota; Metazoa; Chordata; Mammalia; Carnivora; Felidae
Source: RNAcentral
GGCUGGCGCACGACCGAACAGCUUUUCAUUCCUUUUAAGGUCGGAACCUCUGUGCUCGACACAGGGUCCAGACCGAAGCCAGCGCUUGCAGAGAGGCCGGGGCUGGAGCUGCCUGUGAGCCCAGGGAGCGGAGGUAAGACGGGGAACAGGGCGGCUGUGCACGCGCACGCCAUGGGCUGAGACACGUCAGGCAGGAGCGAGGGUGGGUUUGGGAGUAUGGGGUUAUCAGGUUGUCACAGGGUGACUUAAGAUCCUCCCUCACUAAAACGUGACCCCUUCAAGGGCAAGAACCGUACAUCAUCGUUUCUGUUAACACACAGAGAGCACACGUGCACACAGUUAACCAGGCACCUCUGGUGCCUGAUGGCAAAAGGUCUGUUCUCCCUGGAGUUCUGGGCUCUCUGAGGUCCUAUUGUGGCGUCCGUCCCACGCCAGAUGCUGUAGAGGUCGGGUCGUGCUGGGGCCCGAUAGUCAUGUUGCCCAAACAAAGAUUAUUUAUGAGAAACGAGAACCAAAAGCAUCCAUGCCGGUCCAGACCGAGACCUAAAGGACCUAUAAAUGCUGUGUUUGUCUGUCUGUCUGUCUGUCUGUCUGUCUGUCUGUCUCUCUCUCUCUCUCUGUUUUCUUUUACAUAGGAGUGGUUAAUAUUUUUUCGAAAUAUUCUCCUAACAAUCCCUGUUAAGUGCUUACUGUUUGUAAGCGCUUGGGACACAGAGCUUUGUGUAAUUUUACUUCCCCGGCGCUGUGACGUCGCUGCUGUUAUCCUGUGUUACAGGUGAGGAAACCAACACCAGAGAAGUCACUUAAUGAGUGACAGAGCUGGUGAGCAGGGGUUCGAACACAGGCACUCUGACUCCAGAGCUUUUUCUUACGUGGACGCUGUAUCCAAGCAUUUCUCGCCUGGGACGCCUGGCUGGCUCCGUCGGCAGAGCGUGUGACUCUUGACCCUCAGCGUUGUGAGUUCGAGCCCCACGUUGGGUGUAGAGAUUACUUCAAAAUAAAACCCUAAAA